Small nucleolar RNA from Camelus dromedarius (Arabian camel), 130 nucleotides. The record is from Ensembl. NCBI's taxonomy places the organism in Eukaryota, Metazoa, Chordata, Mammalia, Artiodactyla, Camelidae.
GGGGUGUGCUCAGAGCACGGGGCCUGAAGAAAUGGCUUUUCUGUUUACAACACACCCAAUAGGAAUUUGGGUUCAUUAUGAUGAGGGGCACAAACUGUCGGGCCUUCCUAUGAACACAUACCCUCCACGC